RNAcentral lists this microRNA precursor (73 nucleotides) under Choloepus hoffmanni (Hoffmann's two-fingered sloth). RNAcentral's name for it is "miRNA (ENSCHOG00000016008.1)". Lineage: Eukaryota; Metazoa; Chordata; Mammalia; Pilosa; Megalonychidae. The record is from RNAcentral.
AGCAGCCAUCCUGGUUUGCCAGGGACUGAGGUGGUCCUGGGACAUGAGGCUUUCUGUGCUGAAACUGGGACAG